AAAAUGCUAGGUUAAAAAAACUCUAGACCUUCAAAGUCUAUAAUGAAUGAAAUUUCGUAUUUU
Molecule: transfer RNA, 63 nt
Filed under: Plaxiphora albida
Lineage: Eukaryota; Metazoa; Mollusca; Polyplacophora; Chitonida; Mopaliidae
Description: tRNA-Trp
Source: RNAcentral